RNAcentral lists this ribosomal RNA (428 nucleotides) under Anolis tropidogaster. RNAcentral describes it as "partial 16S ribosomal RNA". It matches the Rfam family "Bacterial large subunit ribosomal RNA", at positions 1980 to 2603 of the family's 2925-position model. Lineage: Eukaryota; Metazoa; Chordata; Lepidosauria; Squamata; Anolidae. The record is from RNAcentral.
AUGAAGACCUGUAUGAAUGGCUAUAUGAGUAUUUAACUGUCUCCUUUAACUAAUCAGUGAAACUGAUCUUUCAGUACAAAAGCUGAAAUACUUACAUAAGACGAGAAGACCCCGUGGAGCUUUAAANUUUUUAACAAAGCAUUACUAAAAGACGCUUAUGAUAAGAAAUUUUUAGUUGGGGCGACUUUGGAGAAAAACUUAACCUCCAAGAAAAGGUACCACCUAACUUUAGGCUUACAAGCCAAACUUCAUAGACCCAGUAUUAAAUACUGAUCAACGAACCAAGUUACCCCAGGGAUAACAGCGCCAUCUUCUUCAAGAGUUCAUAUCGACAAGAAGGUUUACGACCUCGAUGUUGGAUCAGGACACCCAAAUGGUGUAGCCGCUAUUAAAGGUUCGUUUGUUCAACGAUUAACAGUCCUACGUGA